UACGUAGGGGGCGAGCGUUGUCCGGAGUUACUGGGCGUAAAGCGCACGCAGGCGGUCUGCUAAGUUUGGAGUGACAGUUGGUGGCUCAACCACCAAAGUGCUUUGAAAACUGACAGACUUGAGGGCUUCAGAGGGACACGGAAUUCCGGGUCGAGUGGUGAAAUGCGUAGAGAUCCGGAGGAACACCAAAGGCGAAGGCAGUGUCCUGGGGAGUACCUGACGCUCAGGUGCGAAAGCCAGGGGAGCGAACGGG
Molecule: ribosomal RNA, 253 nt
Filed under: uncultured bacterium
Lineage: Bacteria
Description: partial 16S ribosomal RNA
Rfam family: Bacterial small subunit ribosomal RNA
Source: RNAcentral